GGGAAUCAGGGUUCGAUUCCGGAGAGGGAGCCUGAGAAACGGCUACCACUUCCAAGGAAGGCAGCAGGCGCGCAAAUUACCCAAUCCCGGCACGGGGAGGUAGUGACGAAAAAUACGGAUACGGGACUCAUCAGAGGCUCCGUAAUUCGAAUGAGUACACUUUAAAUCCUUGUACGAGGAUCAACUGGAGGGCAAGUCUGGUGCCAGCAGCCGCGGUAACUCCAGCUCCAGAAGCGUAUAUUAAAGUUGUUGCAGUUAAAAAGCUCGUAGUUGGAUCUGGGUCGCAUGGCUACAUGCUGCGCUCGUAUUUCCAAUCUGGUUACGACUGGAGCGGAUUUGUGAGUCAGUGUCGUGGUUGUGCAGCCUUUCUGCCGUGUCUGGUUUCCAGGUGCUGGCUAUCAGUGGGUUCGUCUCGCUGUUUAGUUGGCAUGCUUCUCGAUGCCUUUCAACGGGUGUCGGAUGCGGACGGCACGUUUACUUUGAACAAAUUUGAGUGCUCAAAGCAGGCCACAGAGCCUGAAAAUUCUUGCAUGGAAUAAUGAAAUAGGACUUCGGUUCUAUUUUGUUGGUUUUCGGAUCCGAAGUAAUGGUUAAGAGGGACAGACGGGGGCAUUUGUAUGGCGGUGUUAGAGGUGAAAUUCUUGGAUCGCCGCCAGACAAACUACAGCGAAAGCAUUUGCCAAGGAUGUUUUCAUUGAUCUGGAGCGAAAGUCAGAGGUUCGAAGACGAUCAGAUACCGUCCUAGUUCUGACCAUAAACGAUGCCAACUGACGAUCCGCGGUGGUUCUUUUAUUGUCCCCGCGGGCAGUCCCCGGGAAACCUUUAAGUCUUUGGGCUCCGGGGGAAGUAUGGUUGCAAAGCUGAAACUUAAAGGAAUUGACGGAAGGGCACCACCAGGAGUGGAGCCUGCGGCUUAAUUCGACUCAACACGGGAAAUCUCACCCGGCCCGGACACCGUGAGGAUUGACAGAUUGAAAGCUCUUUCUUGAUUCGGUGGUUGGUGGUGCAUGGCCGUUCUUAGUUGGUGGAGCGAUUUGUCUGGUUAAUUCCGAUAACGAACGAGACUUUGGCCUGCUAAAUAGUAAGCCUGUCCUGUGUGCUCGUGCGGGUGACGGUGCUCAUUGCCCUUCGAGGCGGUGGUGUCGUUCGCCGGCGGGUGCUGCGCAGGUGUUUACUUCUUAGAGGGACAAGCGGCGAGACAGUCGCACGAAAAUGAGCAAUAACAGGUCUGUGAUGCCCUUAGAUGUCCGGGGCCGCACGUGCGCUACAAUGACGGUUUCAGCGAGUUUGGAAACCUGGCCUGAGAGGGUUGGGCAAACUGAAUCAUCACCGUCGUGACUGGGAUCGGGGCUUGCAAUUAUUCCCCGUGAACGAGGAAUUCCUGGUAAGUGCAAGUCAUAAGCUUGCGCUGAUUAC
This 1416-nucleotide ribosomal RNA is filed under the name Dicrocoelium dendriticum. RNAcentral describes it as "SSU rRNA". It matches the Rfam family "Eukaryotic small subunit ribosomal RNA", at positions 365 to 1648 of the family's 1831-position model. Lineage: Eukaryota; Metazoa; Platyhelminthes; Trematoda; Plagiorchiida; Dicrocoeliidae. The record is from RNAcentral.